RNAcentral lists this ribosomal RNA (446 nucleotides) under uncultured organism. Its description in RNAcentral is "partial 16S ribosomal RNA". It matches the Rfam family "Bacterial small subunit ribosomal RNA", at positions 334 to 797 of the family's 1533-position model. The record is from RNAcentral.
CACUCCUGCGGGAGGCAGCAGUGGGGAAUAUUGUACAAUGGGCGCAAGCCUGAUCCAGCCAUGCCGCGUGAGUGAUGAAGGCCCUAGGGUUGUAAAGCUCUUUCACCGGUGAAGAUAAUGACGGUAACCGGAGAAGAAGCCCCGGCUAACUUCGUGCCAGCAGCCGCGGUAAUACGAAGGGGGCUAGCGUUGUUCGGAUUUACUGGGCGUAAAGCGCACGUAGGCGGACUAUUAAGUCAGGGGUGAAAUCCCGGGGCUCAACCCCGGAACUGCCUUUGAUACUGGUAGUCUUGAGUUCGAGAGAGGUGAGUGGAAUUCCGAGUGUAGAGGUGAAAUUCGUAGAUAUUCGGAGGAACACCAGUGGCGAAGGCGGCUCACUGGCUCGAUACUGACGCUGAGGUGCGAAAGCGUGGGGAGCAAACAGGAUUAGAAACCCCGGUAGUCCC